RNAcentral lists this ribosomal RNA (432 nucleotides) under uncultured bacterium. RNAcentral's name for it is "bacterial SSU rRNA". It matches the Rfam family "Bacterial small subunit ribosomal RNA", at positions 29 to 507 of the family's 1533-position model. The record is from RNAcentral.
AACGAACGCUGGCGGCAUGCCUAACACAUGCAAGUCGAACGAAGCCUUCGGGCUUAGUGGCGCACGGGUGCGUAACGCGUGGGAACCUACCAUCAGGUUCGGAAUAACAGUUAGAAAUGACUGCUAAUACCGGAUAAUGUCUUCGGACCAAAGAUUUAUCGCCUUUUGAUGGGCCCGCGUAAGAUUAGGUAGUUGGUGGGGUAAAGGCCUACCAAGCCGACGAUCUUUAGCUGGUCUGAGAGGAUGAUCAGCCACACUGGGACUGAGACACGGCCCAGACUCCUACGGGAGGCAGCAGUGGGGAAUAUUGGACAAUGGGCGAAAGCCUGAUCCAGCAAUGCCGCGUGAGUGAUGAAGGCCUUAGGGUUGUAAAGCUCUUUACUGGGGAUGAUAAUGACAGUACCCAGAGAAUAAGCUCCGGCUAACUCCGUG